Molecule: ribosomal RNA, 575 nt
Filed under: uncultured bacterium
Lineage: Bacteria
Description: partial 16S ribosomal RNA
Rfam family: Bacterial small subunit ribosomal RNA
Source: RNAcentral
UGGGGAAUAUUGCACAAUGGGCGCAAGCCUGAUGCAGCCAUGCCGCGUGUGUGAAGAAGGCCUUCGGGUUGUAAAGCACUUUCAGCGAGGAGGAAGGUGGUGAACUUAAUACGUUCAUCAAUUGACGUUACUCGCAGAAGAAGCACCGGCUAACUCCGUGCCAGCAGCCGCGGUAAUACGGAGGGUGCAAGCGUUAAUCGGAAUUACUGGGCGUAAAGCGCACGCAGGCGGUUUGUUAAGUCAGAUGUGAAAUCCCCGGGCUCAACCUGGGAACUGCAUUUGAAACUGGCAAGCUAGAGUCUCGUAGAGGGGGGUAGAAUUCCAGGUGUAGCGGUGAAAUGCGUAGAGAUCUGGAGGAAUACCGGUGGCGAAGGCGGCCCCCUGGACGAAGACUGACGCUCAGGUGCGAAAGCGUGGGGAGCAAAGCAGGAUUAGAUACCCUGGUAGUCCACGCUGUAAAACGAUGUCGAUUUGGAGGUUGUGCCCUUGAGGCGUGGCUUCCGGAGCUAACGCGUUAAAUCGACCGCCUGGGGAGUACGGCCGCAAGGUUAAAACUCAAAUGAAUUGACGGGGUC